This 1083-nucleotide ribosomal RNA is filed under the name Triticum aestivum (bread wheat). RNAcentral's name for it is "partial small subunit ribosomal RNA". Lineage: Eukaryota; Viridiplantae; Streptophyta; Magnoliopsida; Poales; Poaceae. The record is from RNAcentral.
AUGGAGAGAUAUAGGGAGCAUAAGAAGGACUUGCAUAUGGUGUUCAUUGACUUGGAGAAGGCCUAUGAUAAGAUACCGCGGAAUGUCAUGUGGUGGGCCUUGGAGAAACACAAAGUCCCAGCAAAGUACAUUACCCUCAUCAAGGACAUGUACAAUAAUGUUGUGACAACUGUUCGAACAAGUGAUGUCGACACCGAUGACUUCCCGAUUAAGAUAGGACUGCAUCAGGGGUCAGCUUUGAGCCCUUAUCUUUUUGCAUUGGUGAUGGAUGAGGUCACAAGGGGUAUACAAGGAGAUAUCCCAUGGUGUAUGCUCUUUGCGGAUGAUGUGGUGCUAGUUGACGAUAGUCGGAUGGGGGUAAAUAGGAAGUUAGAGUUAUGGAGACAAACCUUGGAAUCGAAAGGGUUUAGGCUUAGUAGAACUAAAACCGAGUACAUGAUGUGCGGUUUCAGUACUACUAGCUGUGAGGAGGAGGAGGUUAGCCUUGAUGGCCAGGUGGUACCUCGGAAGGACACCUUUCGGUAUUUGGGGUCAAUGUUGCAGGAGGAUGGGGGUAUUGAUGAAGAUGUGAACCAUCGAAUCAAAGCCGGAUGGAUGAAGUGGCGCCAAGCUUCUGGCAUUCUCUAUGACAAGAGAGUGCCACAAAAGCUAAAAGGCAAGUUCUACAGGACGGCGGUUCGACCCGCAAUGUUGUAUGGCGCGGAGUGUUGGCUGACUAAAAGGCGACAUGUUCAACAGUUAGGUGUGGCGGAGAUGCGUAUGUUGAGAUGGAUGUGUGGCCACACGAGGAAGGAUCGAGUCCGGAAUGAUGAUAUACGAGAUAGAGUUGGGGUAGCACCAAUUGAGGAGAAGCUUGUCCAACAUCGUUUGAGAUGGUUUGGGCAUAUUCAGCGCAGGCCUCCAGAAGCUCCAGUGCAUAGCGGACGGCUAAAGCGUGCGGAGAAUGUCAAGAGAGGGCGGGGUCGACCGAUUUUGACAUGGGAGGAGUCCGUUAAGAGAGACCUGAAGGAUUGGAGUAUCGACAAAGAGCUAGCUAUGGACAGGGGUGCGUGGAAGCUUGUUAUCCAUGUGCCAGAGCCAUGA